Molecule: ribosomal RNA, 537 nt
Filed under: uncultured bacterium
Lineage: Bacteria
Description: bacterial SSU rRNA
Rfam family: Bacterial small subunit ribosomal RNA
Source: RNAcentral
AAUAGAUACCCGGGUAGUCCACGCCGUAAACGAUGAGUGCUAAGUGUUAGAGGGUUUCCGCCCUUUAGUGCUGCAGCUAACGCAUUAAGCACUCCGCCUGGGGAGUACGGCCGCAAGGCUGAAACUCAAAGGAAUUGACGGGGGCCCGCACAAGCGGUGGAGCAUGUGGUUUAAUUCGAAGCAACGCGAAGAACCUUACCAGGUCUUGACAUCCUCUGCCAACCCUAGAGAUAGGGCGUUCCCCUUCGGGGGACAGAGUGACAGGUGGUGCAUGGUUGUCGUCAGCUCGUGUCGUGAGACGUUGGGUUAAGUCCCGCAACGAGCGCAACCCUUGAUCUUAGUUGCCAGCAUUUAGUUGGGCACUCUAAGGUGACUGCCGGUGACAAACCGGAGGAAGGUGGGGAUGACGUCAAAUCAUCAUGCCCCUUAUGACCUGGGCUACACACGUGCUACAAUGGAUGGUACAAAGAGCUGCGAACCCGCGAGGGUAAGCCAAUCUUAUAAAGCCAUUCUCAGUUCGGAUUGUAGGCUGCAACG